RNAcentral lists this transfer RNA (71 nucleotides) under bovine gut metagenome. It matches the Rfam family "tRNA". Rfam says of the family: Transfer RNA (tRNA) molecules are approximately 80 nucleotides in length. Their secondary structure includes four short double-helical elements and three loops (D, anti-codon, and T loops). The record is from RNAcentral.
GGGAUAUAGCUCAGUUGGUAGAGUGUCUGGAUCGCACCCAGAAGGUCGAGGGUUCGACUCCCUUUAUCUCC